Molecule: ribosomal RNA, 493 nt
Filed under: uncultured bacterium
Lineage: Bacteria
Description: partial 16S ribosomal RNA
Rfam family: Bacterial small subunit ribosomal RNA
Source: RNAcentral
ACGAACGCUGGCGGCGUGCUUAACACAUGCAAGUCGAACGGUGAAGCGCCUUCCUUUUUGGUGGGUGUGGAUGAGUGGCGAACGGGUGAGUAACACGUGAGUAACCUGCCCCCUUCUUCUGGAUAACCGCAUGAAAGUGUGGCUAAUACGUGAUAUUCUGGGUCUGUCGCAUGAUGGGUCUGGGAAAGAUAUUGUUUCGGUGGGGGAUGGGCUCGCGGCCUAUCAGCUUGUUGGUGGGGUGAUGGCCUACCAAGGCGGUGACGGGUAGCCGGCCUGAGAGGGUGGACGGUCACACUGGGACUGAGACACGGCCCAGACUCCUACGGGAGGCAGCAGUGGGGAAUAGUGCACAAUGGGCGCAAGCCUGAUGCAGCGACGCCGCGUGAGGGAUGGAGGCCUGCGGGUUGUGAACCUCUUUCGCCAGUGAAGCAGGCCUGCCUCGUUUGUGGGUGGGUUGACGGUAGCUGGAUAAGAAGCGCCGGCUAACUACGUG